Molecule: long non-coding RNA, 593 nt
Filed under: Gossypium barbadense (sea-island cotton)
Lineage: Eukaryota; Viridiplantae; Streptophyta; Magnoliopsida; Malvales; Malvaceae
Description: long non-coding RNA (GBAR_LNC001660)
Source: RNAcentral
UCUGAUGCCGAUCUAAGCCCUCAAAUGAUAACAAAAGUUGAGCCUUCAGUGAUCUCACUAUUCGGCCAAGUCCCUAAGAGAGUGGGGUUUUCAGCUUUUGUUGAAGCUGUGUAAAGAAAGAUGAAAUAGGAGGGUUUUGCUAUGGUUUUGUCGACAGAACCUUGAGGUUUAGAGAACUAGAGAAUCGGUCAAGAAUGAUGGAAAAGAUAAUAAAAUUGGCUAGGAGAAAUCGGCACAGAAGAAAGUAUGGGUUUCGGGAUUUCAGCUUUUUAUGGCAAUGGCUAUGAAGGUUUUAGAAACGUUUGAAGCAAAAGAUGAAGAUGGACAGGUGGUUAGAGAGAUUCAGCUAUGGAGGAAAAGAAGAUGAAAAAAAAGAAAAAGUUGAAGAGAAGAGGAGAAAAGAAAGAAAAGGAGAAUGGUCAGCAAACGUCACAACUUUCCCCCUAAUGUCGAAUUUAUACUGGCACUUAACCUAGCCGAAUUUUGCCCCCCAAAAGAAACCGUUGGCCGGCCAACUCUUGCUCCUCAAGAGUCCACUAUUAGGCCAUCACUACUCUCCCAAAUCAGCUCCUAAAUCCUAUCCCUUAUCCCCU